AGAACGAGCACCACACUUUCACCCCCAUCAAAACAAAUCACCGCUCUAGGGUUUUUCUCGUGUCGAACUCUUUUUCGUCCUCCAGCUCUCCUCGACGGAGCAAAGCCUGCCGCCUCUCCUUCACUCAUACUCGUCCUCGACGAUCUCCACCUCGCGUUUCCCUCCUCCCCUUGGCUCCUUCACUUCCCCUCAUUCGACACCUCCGCUUGUUCGCCGACCAUCCCAACCUUGUCAGCCACCUCUCCUCAAUUCGCCGUUGUCCACUGCCUCCCCUCACGACCUCGCCGUCUUCGAGGACCGCCGCCGAGACCUCCACACGACUCAGAAAAAAGGUGAGGAUUGAAGAGGAGUUCACUGGAUUGUACAUGUUAUUCUGUUCAAAAUGAUAGAUCUUUUGUCACUGAGAGCCCUGGCAUCAGUAAUUUGGGGCUUGUCGGAGGGGGGAUUUUGAAAUUUUGCUUCUUGUCCAGGAGGGAGCUUAGCCUUGACAAGGAUGUGUACAUGUACAGAGUUAGGGUUCGACGAUUCUGAGCCGGUACUGCCUUCUUGAUCAAUGUUGACCGAAUCAGAGGUGCUUUUGCGGAUGCUUCCAAACUAUCACCAUCAUGUGCGCACAUAUGAGAAUACACUUGAAACUAAAUUCUUUGGUUUGCACAGAGUGAUACCCUCUAGUGGUCAAAAGGUUCUUCAUAAUGAGAAACAUGUUUUGUACGGAUCCAUAGAAGGUUUGACUUGAAAGGUUUGACUUGAAAGAGUGAUGCAUAUUGACUCAGUACAUUGGGUUUAACCAGGAAUUUUUAUGGAUAUUCUGGAAAACAUCUGAAGAUCCAUGCUUGUCGCUCUUUGGGGGAUUUAUUUGUUGUGAAGAUUUAGAACUUAAUCAUCUCAAGAGAAACAUUUUGACCUUUUGAUUAAGUAGUAGCUCUUUGUUUUAAUCAUGGAGGAUUUGUGAUAUGUGCUUAAUUUGGUUAGUUUGUGUGUAAAACUUGUGAAGAAUUAUCUCAAUCUUAUUGCUAUAAUAUUGUUCUUCGUUGUAAUGAA
This is a long non-coding RNA of Asparagus officinalis (garden asparagus), 1041 nucleotides long. RefSeq lists it as uncharacterized. The transcript has 6 exons. The record is from RefSeq and is a predicted model, not a curated record. NCBI's taxonomy places the organism in Eukaryota, Viridiplantae, Streptophyta, Magnoliopsida, Asparagales, Asparagaceae.